Molecule: unclassified non-coding RNA, 387 nt
Filed under: soil metagenome
Description: partial contains 5.8S ribosomal RNA, internal transcribed spacer 2, and large subunit ribosomal RNA
Rfam family: 5.8S ribosomal RNA (bases 1-120)
Source: RNAcentral
GAUGAAGAACUCAGCGAAAUGCGAUAAGUAAUGUGAAUUGCAGAAUUCAGUGAAUCAUCGAAUCUUUGAACGCACCUUGCACCCUUUGGCAUUCCGAAGGGUAUGCUCGUUUGAGUGUCAUUGUACUCUCACACUCUCCGAUCCUAUGGAUUCGGGGAGCGGUGGACUUGGGUGUUGCUGCCUUUCCUUGUGGCUCACCUCAAAUGUGUCAGUGCACCUCUUGGUUGGACAUAGUACGGCGUGAUAAGUGUCUUCGCCGGCACCUCGCAAGAGGGUGGCCGAUCGGGAGCUCUGUGCUUUCAAACCGUCUUCGGACAAUUUCUGACAACUUGACCUCAAAUCGAGUAGGACUACCCGCUGAACUUAAGCAUAUCAAUAAGCGGAGGA